This 498-nucleotide ribosomal RNA is filed under the name uncultured bacterium. RNAcentral's name for it is "partial 16S ribosomal RNA". It matches the Rfam family "Bacterial small subunit ribosomal RNA", at positions 30 to 523 of the family's 1533-position model. The record is from RNAcentral.
AUUGAGCGCUGGCGGAAUGCUUUACACAUGCAAGUCGAACGGCAGCACGGGGCAACCUGGUGGCGAGUGGCGAACGGGUGAGUAAUACAUCGGAACGUGCCCAAUCGUGGGGGAUAACGUAGCGAAAGUUACGCUAAUACCGCAUACGAUCUACGGAUGAAAGCGGGGGAUCGCAAGACCUCGCGCGAAUGGAGCGGCCGAUGUCAGAUUAGGUAGUUGGUGGGGUAAAGGCUCACCAAGCCGACGAUCUGUAGCUGGUCUGAGAGGACGACCAGCCACACUGGGACUGAGACACGGCCCAGACUCCUACGGGAGGCAGCAGUGGGGAAUUUUGGACAAUGGGCGCAAGCCUGAUCCAGCCAUUCCGCGUGCAGGAUGAAGGCCUUCGGGUUGUAAACUGCUUUUGUACGGAACGAAACGGCGAGCUCUAAUACAGUUUGCAAAUGACGGUACCGUAAGAAUAAGCACCGGCUAACUACGUGCCAGCAGCCGCCGCGG